AGCUUGCUCCUUUGACGUUGCGGCGGACGGGUGAGUAACACGUGGAUAACCUACCUAUAAGACUGGGAUAACUUCGGGAAACCGGAGCUAAUACCGGAUAACAUAUUGAACCGCAUGGUUCAAUAGUGAAAGGCGGCUUUGCUGUCACUUAUAGAUGGAUCCGCGCCGUAUUAGCUAGUUGGUAAGGUAACGGCUUACCAAGGCAACGAUACGUAGCCGACCUGAGAGGGUGAUCGGCCACACUGGAACUGAGACACGGUCCAGACUCCUACGGGAGGCAGCAGUAGGGAAUCUUCCGCAAUGGGCGAAAGCCUGACGGAGCAACGCCGCGUGAGUGAUGAAGGUCUUCGGAUCGUAAAACUCUGUUAUCAGGGAAGAACAAAUGUGUAAGUAACUGUGCACAUCUCGACGGUACCUGAUCAGAAAGCCACGGCUAACUACGUGCCAGCAGCCGCGGUAAUACGUAGGUGGCAAGCGUUAUCCGGAAUUAUUGGGCGUAAAGCGCGCGUAGGCGGUUUUUUAAGUCUGAUGUGAAAGCCCACGGCUCAACCGUGGAGGGUCAUUGGAAACUGGAAAACUUGAGUGCAGAAGAGGAAAGUGGAAUUCCAUGUGUAGCGGUGAAAUGCGCAGAGAUAUGGAGGAACACCAGUGGCGAAGGCGACUUUCUGGUCUGUAACUGACGCUGAUGUGCGAAAGCGUGGGGAUCAAACAGGAUUAGAUACCCUGGUAGUCCACGCCGUAAACGAUGAGUGCUAAGUGUUAGGGGGGUUUCCGCCCCUUAGUGCUGCAGCUAACGCAUUAAGCACUCCGCCUGGGGGAGUACGACCGCAAGGUUGAAACUCAAAGGAAUUGACGGGGACCCGCACAAGCGGUGGAGCAUGUGGUUUAAUUCGAAGCAACGCGAAGAACCUUACCAAAUCUUGACAUCCUUUGACCGCUCUAGAGAUAGAGUUUUCCCCUUCGGGGGACAAAGUGACAGGUGGUGCAUGGUUGUCGUCAGCUCGUGUCGUGAGAUGUUGGGUUAAGUCCCGCAACGAGCGCAACCCUUAAGCUUAGUUGCCAUCAUUAAGUUGGGCACUCUAAGUUGACUGCCGGUGACAAACCGGAGGAAGGUGGGGAUGACGUCAAAUCAUCAUGCCCCUUAUGAUUUGGGCUACACACGUGCUACAAUGGACAAUACAAAGGGCAGCUAAACCGCGAGGUCAAGCAAAUCCCAUAAAGUUGUUCUCAGUUCGGAUUGUAGUCUGCAACUCGACUACAUGAAGCUGGAAUCGCUAGUAAUCGUAGAUCAGCAUGCUACGGUGAAUACGUUCCCGGGUCUUGUACACACCGCCCGUCACACCACGAGAGUUUGUAACACCCGAAGCCGGUGGAGUAACC
This 1380-nucleotide ribosomal RNA is filed under the name uncultured Staphylococcus sp. Its description in RNAcentral is "bacterial SSU rRNA". It matches the Rfam family "Bacterial small subunit ribosomal RNA", at positions 77 to 1440 of the family's 1533-position model. The record is from RNAcentral. Lineage: Bacteria; Bacillati; Bacillota; Bacilli; Caryophanales; Staphylococcaceae.